CAGCAGCCGCGGGAAUACGAAGGGGGCUAGCGUUGUUCGGAAUCACUGGGCGUAAAGGGUGCGUAGGCGGAUUCUUAAGUCAGGGGUGAAAUCCCGAGGCUCAACCUCGGAACUGCCUUUGAUACUGGGGAUCUUGAGUCCGGAAGAGGUGAGUGGAACUGCGAGUGUAGAGGUGAAAUUCGUAGAUAUUCGCAAGAACACCGGUGGCGAAGGCGGCUCACUGGUCCGGAACUGACGCUGAGGCACGACAGCGUGGGGAGCGAACAGGAUUAGAUACCCCCGUAGUCCCUGUCUCUUAUAU
Molecule: ribosomal RNA, 301 nt
Filed under: uncultured bacterium
Lineage: Bacteria
Description: partial 16S ribosomal RNA
Rfam family: Bacterial small subunit ribosomal RNA
Source: RNAcentral